Long non-coding RNA from Meleagris gallopavo (turkey), 864 nucleotides. RefSeq lists it as uncharacterized. The record is from RefSeq and is a predicted model, not a curated record. NCBI's taxonomy places the organism in Eukaryota, Metazoa, Chordata, Aves, Galliformes, Phasianidae.
CGGGAACCGCCAUCUUGGCACCGCUCCGCCCCCUCGGGUCGUGCCCUGCGCUGCCGUCCGCUGCGCUGGGGUUGCUGUCCGCCGAGCCGCCGUUCCCGAAUUCGGGAGCUCGUAGCUAAAUCUUGUCUCUGUGCACUACACCUACUCGUCUGUUAACACACCUUUAGGGACAGUGAUCCCACCGCCUCCCUGGGCAGCCCGUGCCAACGCUUCGCAGCCCUCUGUGUGGAAAAAGUUCUCCUACUGUCCAACCUGACCCUCCCCAGGCACAAUUUGAAGCCGUAACCUAAGAAAAAAACAAAAGAUUCCCUCAGGGAAGGGGAAGCCGUGCACUUGCCUUGGAGCACUUUCUCCCAGGCUGUGCUGUGAGAAGAGCAGCAGUGCAGUGCAGUGCAGAGGUCUCAGAGAUGUGCCCGGAGCAGAAGAAGCUUGCACAGCUGCCAGCCUUUCCCAGUGGGUUUCCAGGCAGGAGCAAAGAAAUGGCUGCUGAGAUACAUUACGUGAAAUGGGAACCUGGACUACCUCCUGCACAAAGCUGCUGAGGAAAAGCAUAUGACUUAGAGAUGCUUCUGAGUUUUCAUAUGGCAUUUUGUGAAAUUUCUGGAGCUGGAAACUCUGUCAACUCUGCAGCUGUCAACUCUGCAGCCAUAGGGCGCUCCCAAGAUGGUCUGACAGUUUCUUUGUUCCAUUCACAACGUUGGAAUUAUGGGAUUUCUGUGGGAAGAACUGACCUGAUGGACUAAACAGGAUUCAGUGCAGAACCCACAGGUGUGGAUUUACUGGAGGGCUCACAGAAGUUGAUUCCAGCAGAUGCCAGCUGUGACCCUCCCGCUACUAUAAGACUGUACAGCCAAGCAGUGCUGA